This 249-nucleotide ribosomal RNA is filed under the name uncultured archaeon. RNAcentral describes it as "partial 16S ribosomal RNA". It matches the Rfam family "Archaeal small subunit ribosomal RNA", at positions 339 to 593 of the family's 1478-position model. The record is from RNAcentral.
GCGCGAAACCUCCGCAAUGCGGGAAACCGUGACGGGGUCACCCCGAGUGCCCCCGAAAGGGGGCUUUUCCCCGCUGCAAGGAGGCGGGGGAAUAAGCGGGGGGCAAGUCUGGUGUCAGCCGCCGCGGUAAUACCAGCCCCGCGAGUGGUCGGGACGUUUACUGGGCCUAAAGCGCCCGUAGCCGGCCCGGCAAGUCCCUCCUGAAAGCCCCGGGCUCAACCCGGGGAGCGGGGGGGAGACUGCCGGGCC